Phoenix dactylifera (date palm) is the source of this 2282-nucleotide long non-coding RNA. RefSeq lists it as uncharacterized. NCBI's taxonomy places the organism in Eukaryota, Viridiplantae, Streptophyta, Magnoliopsida, Arecales, Arecaceae. The record is from RefSeq and is a predicted model, not a curated record.
CCCCCCCAGCGAUCCCUAACCCCUCCUCCUCCUCCUCCCUAACCCAAAUCCAACAAAUCCCUAACCGGAAGGCCGUCCACGGCAGGGAUGACCCCUCCCCCUCCUCCUCCUCCUCCCUAACCCCUCCUCUCUCCUUUGCGUUAACUCCAAAACCCUAGCUUCCCCAAUCCCUCUCCUCUCGAAACCCUAGCUCCCAUGGCGGCCCUCCUAUCCUCCCAGUGCCAGUGCCGCUUCUCCGCUGCCGCCCUGAGAUCCUCCGUCUCGGCCAGGCGGAGCUGCUUCGAUGGCCACCAGAGACCCCUCUGGUUCCGCCGCCUAGGGUUCUGCUGCUCUUCUUCUUCAUCGAGGUUUCGCAAACUCGAUUCCGGAUGGGGAGAGGUACCGGUUGGUCCAGUUCUCUUCCAACCGUUUAUUCCACAUUGUGAUCAUGAAAGGGAUUGGUAGCUUGAUCUGAUGAUGGAUGGAAAUUGCUUCAACUAUAAUAAAUGGCCAUGGAAGAAUUUGUUUGGCAGAGCCCUAGCAUCUGGGAUGUAUGUUAGUCUGACUCUUUCUGUGGCCAUUGCUUUGGAGCUUUAAUUUCUGCUGCUUAAAAACUCAUCUGAUUUGAGAGAUCCAUGCUGCGAUUUGUGUUUACCAAAAUGACAGCAGUUUGUGCAGUUGAAAUAACCAUUUUCUAGCUCUUCCAUAUUUUGAAUUCAAUCAGUUCACAGAUAUGGUUCCUCCCUGCUCUUAGUGGAGAUGAAUGCGGUCAACUGGUGCAGUGAGGAGGGCUGUAGCACAAGUAGCUCAAUAAGAUGAGAGUUGAUGGGAGAACCCAGCUCUUUCAGAAAUAAUUCAAAGAAAAUAAUUUUACUUGGAUGAUGCAGAUAAAUUUUUGUAUGCAUGCCUGAAUAUAUACAGCAUUUCUGUUUAUAUGUACAUUCUAAGUAUUUUUCUGCUUUCUAGGUAGAGUACAUUCUAUUUGUCAUAUUUCACAUGCAACCAGGCAGAGAUAGCUAAUCAGUGUUAUCACUUACUUUGCCAUUGAGGUUGGAUUCAAUUAUUCUCUAGUUUGCAUCGACUUGAUCUACCACCAGAUCAACUACAUCCAAAAUCUGAUCAGCAACAAGGUUUAGGCACACCUCCUAUUCAAUUUGACUGCAGCUCAGCAAACACAGUGCACUCUCCAUAUGUUAAAGCUGAUUCGGAGCUUGAAUACCAUUGAAAAUUUUGGUGUGUUGUUUAUAGGUAGUAUAUUUCCUUUUAGAUAAAAUCUUGAUUUUACUAUUUGCAUGAAUAAUACAUUACUAAAGCUCUUUCUAUCAUUACAUAUUUGAUAACUGAGGUCCUCUAUGUGUCUUAAAGUUACAGAUGCUGGAUUAUUGUUUUAGGUGAAAAUUCAAUUUAGCUCAUUAGUUUUAUAAGAUCUAUUGAUCGUCAACUUAGUGCAUGCUUAUAAAUCUGCAACACAACUGCAUAAUGCGAUGGAAAAAGUUUGCCUGAAGCUUUAUGAAGUUCCCUUGAAUCUUAAGGCACAUGUCCUCAAUUUUCAUGUACUCAUGCCCAACCAAAAGGGGAAAAAAGUGAUCAGAUUAUUUUCCAUUGCAUGUCUUUGGUUGGGAAUGUUGUGUUCUAUCCAAUCUUCAGCUCAAAGAAAAUUAUUGCCUUUUCAAACUAUGCCCUGCAGUUGAAGCCUUUAUAACCUGAGUAUUAUCCCCUUUAUAUUGUUGUUUCAAGGCCUGACAGUGAUAUUGCACAUGUUGUCUGCUUUCUUGGUUUAUUUGCUGUUGCAAAUCUUCAUUAAAUCUGUAACCUUUCCUUCCUUACAAGUUUGGUGACAGAGUUCUUAAAGGAAGAAUAGAAGCAAAUUGCACAUCUUACAAGUUUGGUGACAGAGUUCUUAAAGAAAAAGACUCAAACGCACAAGUCAUCUAUCCAUCAUGAUGGGGCCAUGUAUUCAACUGGUGGUACAAAUACUCGUUGAUACAUGGUGGAGUUAUGAGCAUGUGAAAUUUAGUUUUUGGUACAUAGAUAGCUUUUGUUCAGAUGAUCAUGGUGGAGUUGUCUACAAGCAGAAUCUAGUUUUUGGUAUAAGAAUAUUUUUGUCUACAUGAUGGUUGUUUGGAUGAAUAGCAAGAUCAGAUAUUUUGGGAUUUUUAAUUUACAUUUUGAUGUAUUUGGUGAUGAUUAUCACCUUAACAUAUGGUAUGGAUGAAACAUUGUGAUGUAUGGUAUUAAUAGAUAUGCUUGACUUUAGACUUAUAGAUGAUGAUAUUUAUAAUGAAUGAUUAUGGAUUCUCCAA